Molecule: transfer RNA, 19 nt
Filed under: Nilssonia hurum
Lineage: Eukaryota; Metazoa; Chordata; Testudines; Trionychidae
Description: partial transfer RNA-Thr
Source: RNAcentral
ACCACUCAAGUAGCUUAAA